RNAcentral lists this transfer RNA (70 nucleotides) under Toxocara canis (dog roundworm). It matches the Rfam family "tRNA". From Rfam's summary of the family: Transfer RNA (tRNA) molecules are approximately 80 nucleotides in length. The record is from Rfam by way of RNAcentral. Lineage: Eukaryota; Metazoa; Nematoda; Chromadorea; Rhabditida; Toxocaridae.
CAAGCAGUAUCUGAGUGGUAGAGUUUUCGCCUGAUAUGCGAAAAGGUCUGGGCGACUCCCGGCUGCUUUG